Molecule: transfer RNA, 71 nt
Filed under: Bemisia tabaci
Lineage: Eukaryota; Metazoa; Arthropoda; Insecta; Hemiptera; Aleyrodidae
Description: tRNA-Val
Source: RNAcentral
AGACAAAUAACUAAACAAAAAAGUAUAUCAAUUACACUGAUAAAAUGAUUAAACUUACUAAUCUUUGUCUU